AUACGGAGGAUGCGAGCGUUAUCCGGAUUUAUUGGGUUUAAAGGGAGCGUAGGCGGGAGCUUAAGUCAGCGGUUAAAUGGUGCGGCUCAACCGUGCCCUGCCGUUGAAACUGGGUUUCUUGAGAGUGCAAGAGGCGGAUGGAAUUCCUUGGGGAGGGGGGAAAUGCUUAGAUAUCAUGAAGAACUCCGAUUGCGAAGGCAGUCCGCUGGGGCACGUCUGACGCUGAUGCUCGAAGGUGCGGGAAUCAAACAGGAUUAGAUACCCUGGUAGUCCGCACGGUAAACGAUGAUUACCCGCUGUCGGCGGUAGACAGUCGGCGGCCAAGCGAAAGCGAUAAGUAAUCCACCUGGGGAGUACGCCGGCAACGGUGAAACUCAAAUGAAUUGGCGGGG
This 392-nucleotide ribosomal RNA is filed under the name uncultured bacterium. RNAcentral describes it as "partial 16S ribosomal RNA". It matches the Rfam family "Bacterial small subunit ribosomal RNA", at positions 523 to 918 of the family's 1533-position model. The record is from RNAcentral.